GGGGGAUAUUGCGCAAUGGGGGAAACCCUGACGCAGCAACGCCGCGUGAAGGAAGAAGGCCUUCGGGUCGUAAACUUUUGUCUUCUGGGACGAAACAUGACGGUACCAGAGGAGGAAGCCACGGCUAACUACGUGCCAGCAGCCGCGGUAAUACGUAGGUGGCGAGCGUUGUCCGGAAUUACUGGGUGUAAAGGGCGUGUAGGCGGGACUGCAAGUCAGAUGUGAAAUACCGGGGCUUAACCCCGGGGCUGCAUUUGAAACUGUGGUUCUUGAGUGCAGGAGAGGAAAGCGGAAUUCCUAGUGUAGCGGUGAAAUGCGUAGAGAUUAGGAGGAACACCAGUGGCGAAGGCGGCUUUCUGGCCUGUAACUGACGCUGAGGCGCGAAAGCGUGGGUAGCGAAC
Molecule: ribosomal RNA, 401 nt
Filed under: uncultured bacterium
Lineage: Bacteria
Description: bacterial SSU rRNA
Rfam family: Bacterial small subunit ribosomal RNA
Source: RNAcentral